This is a long non-coding RNA of Mirounga angustirostris (Northern elephant seal), 3020 nucleotides long. RefSeq lists it as uncharacterized. NCBI's taxonomy places the organism in Eukaryota, Metazoa, Chordata, Mammalia, Carnivora, Phocidae. The transcript has 2 exons. The record is from RefSeq and is a predicted model, not a curated record.
CGCGCCCGGGACGCCGGCCCAGCGGAGAAGGCGCCCGGCUCCGGCCGCCGCUCGGAAUAAAACCGUCGCCACGGCUCCGGGGUCGGGCCCGCGCGAGUCUCCGCUUCUGCCCGGCUCGCCGCCCACGGGUGUUUCGUGUCCGCCCCCGGCACGGCUGUGCUACGCACCUCACCCCCAUCUCUCGGCUCCAGCGCUUCCGCAGACCACCCUCACGUGGCCGCCGCCUCCCGGCCAGGCAGUCCCCGCCGACCAGGGCUGCGGACCCUCGCGCACUAAGGGACCCGGCGCCGGCUCCCACCCCGUGGGGCGCCACCCCUGUCGGACCACCCAGCCCGCAUUCCGUCCGGGGCCGGGGGGGGGGGGGGGGCCACGAGCUGUCAGAUGCCUAGUUUUCCACAUGACGAAGCUUACCCUCACCCUUAAACAUCCCCACUCACCCUUCAGCCUAGCUCCGAGCUGAAUCAGUAUUUAAAACGGGAGGAGUGGGGUGUAACGUCUUGAUUUUUCUCCCUAAUUUGCAAAAAAAAAAAAAAUUAAGACGCAGCUCUGCCCAUCCACGUCGUCCCACCAAAUGCAAGACUUACGAAAUAGAAAUGCCCACCACACACCUGCUACGCAACCAGCCCUCUGGAAACCUGCAGACCCACCCAGCCCGCCUUCAGGAACCUGCGCCUGGGGUGGGGUGGGAGCGCGACAGUCCGGUCCCCUAAAGUAAGAGGGACUGAGAAGGACAGGCACCCCCUCGCCCCUCCCGGGAGCGCUGUCCUCCUGUUCCCCAGCCCCAGAGCAAUCCGAGGCAUCCUCCGUCCCUCCCGGCGAAAAGGAGGUAGCCAAAGGCCUGAGUGCCAGGGGUGUUUUUCCCUUUCAGAACCCAGACGCCGCGUCCUCCGCGAGGACCCCCCGCGCCCCCUCCCCCCCCCCCGCCGCCGCCGCCGCCGCCGCCGCCGCCUGCUUUCUCGUGGACAGCAAAGGUGGGGUAGGUGGGAGAAACCGGCGAGUGCUCUCCGGAUUCGGGAUGUUGGUCUCGGCGGAGUGAAGAGCAGCUCCGGAGGAACCAUGUGGCAUGAAGCCACCUCAAAGGGGAAAAAAGUGCUCUUAGCAACACAAACAUGGCGAAAUCGCCUCGGCAUUCCCGGCCAACGCCACAACCCCUACCUUCCCUCGCCCGGCUUCCGAACAUCCCGGCCGUGACCUGCGGCCCCUUCCGGGGGGAGGCCCGGGGCCCCGGGGAGUCCGAGGGUGGGUCCGCCGGGCGUGCGAAAGAGGAAAUAACAGAGUCCACAGUGGAAAUGUUUCUGCUGGACCAUCCGACCCAUCCGCCUCGCCAGCAGCGAGGGGACGCCUCGUUCAUCUCGACAGGGCUCAACGGAGAACAAAAUUCCCACCCCAAAGUCCUGCUGGGCCGGCUCUCCCCACCCUCCAGAACUUACCUUGGGGCGGAAUGCACGCUGCCGCUUGAAUCCCUUUCUCUUUCCUUCUAGAGCGAGACGCAAGGAGGAAAAUGAUGCGCACGUAUAUUUGUAGAGCAUAUUCUUCUAGAAUUUCCCUUUGAUCGUCACGAGGAGCGAUGGAGGCUCCGGAGACAGGUGCGGUGGUGGCCGAGGCUGCCGGCGAAAAGUUGUUCUCUCCGCGGUGGGCGGCGGGGUCCCCGGGCCGGGGCUGAGGACCCCGUCUCCCUGCCCACCUCCCCCCCCCCCCCGCCCCGGCGUCGCCCACUUCUCGCAGGCUGCUGCGUGCGGCUUGGCUGCAGGGGAGGUGGCGUAGUUUCUCUUCCUCCCACCUCUUCUCACUCACUUGUUUUUGUAGCCGUGGGCUCCCCUAAUGCUUUCCUCUCCACAAUGUUGUUUCAUUAUAUCAUGUCCAUCAUGUGACACCGGAGAGGCCUCUCUAUGGAAACUUAAAGGGGCUCCCACGUGACUGCAGCAGCAACAACAGCGGCAGCGGCUGGAGUGGCGGCGGCGGCCGCAGCGUUCCUGCCACCACCCACCGGGAGCCCCUCGCAGCAUCCCGAAGGGGCUUCUGGAGCCUGCAGAAGCCCAGAUAAGGGAGCCACAGCAUCCGGGAGCUGUGGCGUCUGUGCGUGCGUGUAGCCUUUGCUCGUUACAGAGGAAACCGAACAGAAGGCGCGUCCUUAAAUCCUUUCCCACAGUCGCAAAACCCACGCUCUGCUAAAAUGACAUUUCGUGGCUCCUACUUUAUUUUCCCCAAGAGCAAGUUUUCUACCGGGGCUGAUGAAUUUUUACAAAGUCAAAAAGAAAAACCGGAUUUCUCUCUGCGAGUUCAGCCGGCUCUUGGGUGGAACAGAAAUGACAAAACAAUAAUAACAGAAAUAGAACCAGGCAUUUGAUACAUAAUUACCAUCACCACCAGCUUUAAAGCUUUCUGGAAUUACAUUCCUCCGGUAACUGUUGAUGAUGCUUGCAGGAGGCUAAAUGCAAUGCAGUUUUUCUCUUCCGCAGCUAUAUUAGGGCUUUGUUGCUGACAACAGUAAAAACUUGUUUGUGUCAGGAAGUGAGGUACGAAGAUAUGACCUGGAAGGUACAGACAAAACCAAAGUGGCAGUUUUUGCAUUACUUUUCUGACCACAUUCUUUCAAAUGGUGAGAAGCAGCUGGUUUGCUGUAAAAUGCAUAGCGUGCGUUUUGGUGGGAAAUAAAAUAAUCACAAAAACACAUGUUUUCCUUAAUCAUACUGUACAUGCUAGACACUAGAAAUGAUGUAUAUGUAUCUAUGUGUGUAUGUGUGAGUAGAGAGAGAAAGAAGAAGAGCAGGUGCAUUUUUAGGAUCGUUUUAGCCAAUAAUUUUGUCAUCAUUUCCAGUGCAUUUAACUGAAAUACUUAGCAAACACUCUGACUUAUUCAAGUACAGUGUUGUGUGGAAGCUAUAACACCAGUUUUGAGUGCCCUCAGUAUUACUGAAUCACAACCCCUAUAAGUGCUUAUGCCUUAAAUCCCAAAUCUCUGCCUUAAAGUUUUUGUGCACCAUGGAGAUUUUAUGCUAUAAAGCUAAGCAACGCAGCUA